Molecule: long non-coding RNA, 1051 nt
Filed under: Pan troglodytes (chimpanzee)
Lineage: Eukaryota; Metazoa; Chordata; Mammalia; Primates; Hominidae
Description: lncRNA (ENSPTRG00000054314.1)
Source: RNAcentral
GGUUAGCGGCGUGCUCGUGCCAUGUGCCUGUCAGUUCUGCAAGCAUUUGUUGGAUGUGAAGGUUGGUGUGAUGACCACGCUGCCCAUAACAGGCAAAAGAGUGCAGACAGCUGAGGCUCCUCACUUCCCGCUCCAAAGCUCAGAACCUCCCUUCCCUCCUGGAUCCAACAGAAGCAGUGGCCACUGCUGCCUGUGCCUCUCAAACUUGUCACCCACGGAUGCUGGGAAAAAUGCACAUAAAAGGGUCCUGUCUUUGUGAUGUCAGCGUGAAGUGGAAUUCACAGAAUGGCUAAAGUGGAGGGAAGACUUAAAAUGCAUUGGAUGAUGAUAGCAGCCUCAUUUACAAUCACCACGACUUGGAAGCAGCCGAGAUGUCCUUUGGCAGAUGAUUGGAGAAAUGAACUGUGGCACAUCCAUGCAGACCAUGGAAUACUAUUCAGUGCUAAAAAUGAGUGAGCUUUCCAUCCUUGUAAAGACAUAGAGAAACCUGAAAUGCAGAUCACAAAGUGAAAGGCCAAUCUGGAAAGGCUACACACCCUAUGACUCCAACCCUGUGACAUUCCCAAAGAGGAAAAAUUAUGGGGACAGUAAAAAGAGGAGCUGCCAUCAUUAGGGAAGCAGGAGCUGAGGAGAGUCAGAGUGACACCAUUGAAAAAUCUUCUCUGUCUUGAGACUAACAAGGUACCUUCCUUGCCAGUCACAACCCAUGGUCCUAAGAUGGUCGCAGCUAAGGAGGCAGCUUGGUACUGCCUGCAAGGACAAACUCCUAAAACAACAGAAAGCCCAGAUGUCCCAAUACCCAUAGCAAUAUGUGCUUUCAAGAUAAUUAUAGAUAUGCUUUGAUGUACUCAUGUACUAGACUGUUAAGGAUAGUUUUCUUUAAACCAGUAGCAUAAUCAAUUUUGUCGUGCUGUCUGCUCCCCCUCACAGAGUCGCAGCUUGGUUUAGUCAUUAUGUAGACAAGACCCCUAUAUAAGAAAAACUUAAAACAAAGACGGUGCAUUCUCUCGGAAGGUCCCGUGAUCUGUAAUGGAGUAGGUUUUAAUAAACG